RNAcentral lists this ribosomal RNA (354 nucleotides) under uncultured organism. RNAcentral's name for it is "bacterial LSU rRNA". It matches the Rfam family "Bacterial large subunit ribosomal RNA", at positions 950 to 1311 of the family's 2925-position model. The record is from RNAcentral.
CAAACUCCGAAUGCCGGCAGGUUAAGCGCAGCAGUCGGACGGCGGGAGAUGAGUUUCGUCGUCGAGAGGGAAAGAACCCAGACCCCCGGCUAAGGUCCCGGAGAGUACGUUAAGUGGGAAAUGAUGUGACUGUGUUGAGACAGCUAGGAGGUUGGCUUAGAAGCAGCCACCCUUUAAAGAGUGCGUAACAGCUCACUAGUCAAACGCAGUUGCGCAGACAAUGUAACGGGGCUCAAACGUACCACCGAAGCCUGGGAUGCGGGAGCAUAGUAGGAGAGCGUUCCACGGGCGGCGAAGGCGAACUGGCGAGGUUUGUUGGAGCGCGUGGAAGUGAGAAUGCUGGCAUGAGUAGCG